RNAcentral lists this non-coding RNA (389 nucleotides) under Pongo abelii (Sumatran orangutan). Lineage: Eukaryota; Metazoa; Chordata; Mammalia; Primates; Hominidae. The record is from RNAcentral.
CCCUUGGCUCACCUCCCCCCAUCCGCGCACCAGGAGCGGAGAGCCGGGAACUAAGAACAGUAGACCCAGAGAGGUGAGACCGGCCCCAAGCACCUGAGUCCUCAAGAAGAGUGACCGUUUCCGUGCCAGGAGGAUCCAAGGUGGGGAAACUGAGGCUGAGAGAGAAGGACGUUGACCAAGGUCACAGGGCAGGGGCAGCAGAGACAGAGUCUCACUAUGUGCUCAGACUGGUUUCCAACUUCUGGCUCAAGCAAUCCUCCUGCCUUGACCUCGCUAAGUGCUGGGAUUACCGAAUGGGAGCCACCAUGCCCAGUCAAGGUCUUUACUCAAAAUUCACCUUCUCCCUGGGUCUUCUCUGGAGACCCUAGCUUUAAAAAUAAACAAGCAAA